GUAUCUAAUAAAGGUUCUUUUUAGCUCACCUGGCCCGAAGGGCCAAGUGAGCUUUUCCCAUCACUUUGCGUCCAGCGUCCGUCGUCGUCCUGCGUCCGUCGUCGUCCGUCGUCGUUAACUUUUACAAAAAUCUUCUCCUCUGAAACUACUAGGCCAAAUUAAACCAAACUUGGCCACAAUCAUCAUUGGGGUAUCUAGUUUAAAAAAUGUGUCCGGUGACCCGGCCAACCAACCAAGAUGGCCGCCAUGGCUAAAAAUAGAACAUGGGGGUAAAAUGCAGUUUUUGGGUUAUAACUCAAAAACCAAAGCAUUUAGAGCAAAUCUGACAUGGGGUAAAACUGUUUAUCAGGUCAAGAUCUAUCUGCCCUGAAAUUUUCAGAUGAAUUGGACAACCCGUUGUUGGGUUGCUGCCCCUGAAUUGAUAAUUUUAAGGAAAUUUUGCUGUUUUUGGUUAUUAUCUUGAAUAUUAUUAUAGAUAGAGAUAAACUGUAAACAGCAAUAAUGUUCAGCAAAGUAAGAUUUACAAAUAAGUCAACAUGACCGAAAUGGUCAGUUGACCCCUUUAGGAGUUAUUGCCCUUUUUAGUCCAUUUUUAACCAUUUUUCGUAAAUCUUAGUUAUCUUUUACAAAAAUCUUCUCCUCUGAAACUACUGGGCCAAAUUAAACCAAACUUGGCCACAAUCAUCAUUGGGGUAUCUAGUUUAAAAAAUGUGUGGCGUGACCCGGCCAACCAACCAAGAUGGCCGCCAUGGCUAAAAAUAGAACAUAGGGGUAAAAUGCAGUUUUUGGCUUAUAACUCAAAAACCAAAGCAUUUAGAGCAAAUCUGACAGGGGUAAAAUUGUUUAUCAGGUCAAGAUCUAUCUGCCCUGAAAUUUUCAGAUGAAUUGGAC
This 891-nucleotide long non-coding RNA is filed under the name Mytilus galloprovincialis (Mediterranean mussel). The record is from RNAcentral. Lineage: Eukaryota; Metazoa; Mollusca; Bivalvia; Mytilida; Mytilidae.